RNAcentral lists this ribosomal RNA (483 nucleotides) under uncultured eukaryote. RNAcentral's name for it is "SSU rRNA". It matches the Rfam family "Eukaryotic small subunit ribosomal RNA", at positions 627 to 1105 of the family's 1831-position model. The record is from RNAcentral.
CUCGUAGUUGGAUUUCUGGUCGGAGCGAUCGGUCCGCCUCAUUCGGGGGUGUGUACUUUGUGUCGCCUCCAGCCAUCCUUGAGGCGAGCUGUCCUGGCAUUGAGUUGUUGGGGCAGGGAACCUCAUCUUUUACUGUGAAAAAAUUAGAGUGUUUAAAGCAGGCUUACGCCGUUGAAUACAUUAGCAUGGAAUAAUAAGAUAGGACUUUGGUGGUCUAUUUUGUUGGUUUGCACACCGAAGUAAUGAUUAAGAGGGACAGUUGGGGGUAUUCGUAUUUAAUUGUCAGAGGUGAAAUUCUUGGAUUUUCUGAAAGACGAACUACUGCGAAAGCAUUUACCAAGGAUGUUUUCAUUAAUCAAGAACGAAAGUUAGGGGAUCGAAGAUGAUUAGAUACCAUCGUAGUCUUAACCAUAAACUAUGCCGACUCGGGAUUGGCGGGCGUUAACUUAUGACUCCGUCAGCACCGUAUGAGAAAUCAAAGUC